GUGUCAGCCGCCGCGGUAAUACGGAGGAUCCAAGCGUUAUCCGGAAUCAUUGGGUUUAAAGGGUCCGUAGGCGGCCAAAUAAGUCAGUGGUGAAAGCCCAUCGCUCAACGAUGGAACGGCCAUUGAUACUGUUUGGCUUGAAUUAUUAGGAAGUAACUAGAAUAUGUAGUGUAGCGGUGAAAUGCUUAGAGAUUACAUGGAAUACCAAUUGCGAAGGCAGGUUACUACUAAUAUAUUGACGCUGAUGGACGAAAGCGUGGGGAGCGAACAGGAUUAGAUACCCUGGUAGUCC
Molecule: ribosomal RNA, 292 nt
Filed under: uncultured Flavobacterium sp.
Lineage: Bacteria; Pseudomonadati; Bacteroidota; Flavobacteriia; Flavobacteriales; Flavobacteriaceae
Description: partial 16S ribosomal RNA
Rfam family: Bacterial small subunit ribosomal RNA
Source: RNAcentral